UUAGGACUCACAGCAGAGCACUUCCUUCAGAAGACCUCUGGUUUCUGACUCCAGGAAUCCUCCUUCUGCUCCACAGCCACUCCAAGGGCUCUGCUUUGGACUAUAAUUUAUAAGAAGCCUGGGCUUUGGAGUCAGACACAUCCAAGUUCAGAGCCCACCUUGAUGCUGUGAGAUCCUGGCAAAGCCACCCACUCCCUCUGAAAAGUGGAUUGCGGAGAUUAAGAGAGACUACUGAAGUGCCACGUUUAGGCUGACAUCAGGAGCACCGGUGAUACCUCCUUCCCAUGUUGCGAAAGCUUUGAUUUUGACCCAUCCUUGAGUCCUGAAGCUUGAACUCUGACCAGCCUGGGGAAGCUCAUUCGAUUGUGAAAUGGACACUAUCAGGUUGCCUUUAAAAUACGUAAUAAAACACACCUUCAGAUUCAAACCUACAGGUAAUCUUCUCACAGAUGAAAUGGUUCAUAUAACAUUAGUGACACCACAAAAUACCAUAUUACAGCUCGUGACUUACCAUCAUGCCUUUUACAUUCUGCAAGACUGCUGAAUCUUAUUUUUGUUAAAAGUUAUCAUGUUGUCAAUUUUCUAAUCUAAUUCCUAAUCAUGAAAAUGUACCCUGAUUUCUAUUUCACUCGAGCCAGUAAUAAAAUAUUGUUUUCCUGUUUUAUCAUCGAUUUUCUGUGGUUAUCAUGGUGUCGUCAUUUAUUACUGUUGAUGGUUCCUAACAUAUGUUUUGACAUCCAAGGCAUAGAUUGUAAAAUUCAGUGAAAAUAUAUUGAAAAUUUAUAAGGGCUGGACGACCGUGGAGUUGUUGCUGACAUGUGGCAUUUCUUCAUGAAAGACUGAGAACAUGUGAUCACACAAGGAUUUCUCACUCAUUCAGAUAAUUGUCAUACAAUGGCUCUGUCCCAGGCUGUGUGCCUUAGGUUCCAGGGUUGCAGUGAUGAGGGAAACCCUGCCCUCACCUUGCAGAGAUCAAAUUCCAGCGGCGGUGACGGACCUGUGAGAAGACAUGCACAGCAUUGAGUCACUAAGUUAGCUAAACCUUAGGAUUGUGUAUAUCUUUAAAGAAGACAAAAUGCUUUCACAUUUAUUAUCUUAUUUGAUCUUUA
Molecule: long non-coding RNA, 1109 nt
Filed under: Homo sapiens (human)
Lineage: Eukaryota; Metazoa; Chordata; Mammalia; Primates; Hominidae
Description: HSALNT0215576
Source: RNAcentral